RNAcentral lists this long non-coding RNA (12661 nucleotides) under Brassica rapa (field mustard). RNAcentral describes it as "long non-coding RNA (BRAP_LNC007891)". Lineage: Eukaryota; Viridiplantae; Streptophyta; Magnoliopsida; Brassicales; Brassicaceae. The record is from RNAcentral.
GGAUUAUGUGUUCGGAGAAGAACGGAAUAGGUUUCGCCGGAAUAGAUAUCAAUGUCGUCGACGGUGAACGGAGCGACGUAGUUGCCGUCGGCUUCGACGACCUCUAGUUGGUGUCCCUGCAUGGGAACAUUUGAUGUCACACGUGUGAUCUCUAAUACAUGUAUAAAUCGAUAAAUAUUGCACACAAAUUUAAAUAACUAUUCAACUACAAAAGGCAAAUCUUCAUACUAAAUGAUACAAAUGUCAUGAAAAAUAGUUUAUAAAAGUGAAAUGCUUUAUUCUACAUAAUUUUAUAUCAUUGAUAGAAACUCUUACUUAGUUUUAACAUGUAUUUUAAUAUUUAAAAUGAUUUGCGAGUAAAAAUACUAGGGCUUGUCAUUUGGAGAACAAAUCAUGUUUCGGUUCGGGUACAAUCAGGUUUACGAGUUUAUGAAUUUAAUCAAAAUUCGGAUAUUAUAAAAGUUUGGUUCAGGUUUGACAACAUUUCUAAAAACCAGUUGAACCCAAUAUAAUUUUGGGUUUCAGAUCUUAAUCGAGUUUUUGGUUCCAAAAUAUUGUUCUAUACUUAAUUAAACUCGAAAACCAAACAAGGAUCAUGAGAAACAAAGACCCGAAAUCAAAAAUUUGUAAUGAAAAAUGCUCUUGUCACGAUUAUUUUUGGUUCUAAUGUAAUUUUCGACAAGUAAAAUUAGAGAUAAAAGACAAUGAAAUUAGACAAAACUUUAAAACUAUGCGCAAACACAUCAUAUCCAAUAAACCGAAGUGAAAAAUACAUCGAACCUGAUAAACUCGACUUUAUAGAAGAAGGAAAAUCAUCAAAUACCAAAAUAUAUUAAACUAAGUUUUUGAAUUAAUUAUUCAUGUAAUAAAUACUUCUUUUAGGUACUCAAUGAAAUCUUGGAAUAUUUGGGAUACUUAUUUGGAAUUGAGUUCAGAUUUAGUAUAAAUAUUUUUUGGAACUUUGAAUUUUUCUUAUUCGGAUAUCCAUUCAGGAUCGAGUUCAGUUCGUAUAAAAAUUUGAAAUAUCACAAAACAAGUUCUAUUUAGUAUUUUGGUCGGAUUCGGUUCGAUUCAGACUCUUUAUUAUCGGGCCAAGUUCAAUUCGAGUUUCCAAAUUCAGUUUAUUUGUCCACUCCUAAAAAGUACUUAAAAUCAUUUUUGUUUAGCGUUUCUCAAAAAAAUAGCUAAUCAGUAUAAACAAAAAUAUUUAAACUACUGCAAAGACUAUACAUAUCUCAUUUUAAAAAUUAAAAAUAUAACCAGUUUUUAAUUUAUUUAACUUUUUAUUGAUAAAAAAUAACAUUAUAUUUGUUUGGAUAUUCGAACUGCCUUUAAUCCAAAUGAAAAAAAAACAUGUUAAUUAGUUCCUUUUAUAAACAUGUAUGCUACAAAAUUUGUUAGAAGUAUUUAUAUUUUAAAAAUGUCUAAAUUUAUAUUAGUUAGAAAAUAACUUACUUCAACGGCUAAGUUGAGGGAAGCAAGAGAAGUGGUGCUAGCGAUCCGAAGGCGAUAUACUUUGUUUGGCUCGACCCUUAGAGUUGUAGGUGCGCAAGGAUCAUCUUUUGUAAAGUUACACUCUUUCAAGCCUCCCUCGUUAAAAUACCCCGCUUGUGAGCAAUCGAACUGUCCUCUUCCGUUGAUCAACAGACUCUGAGGCUCCCCAAUCCAACGCAUAGGCUUCGAAGAAAGAGAGAGUUCUUGCAAGGUACUACUUAGAUGCCACCAAUCACUGAGCAGCAGAUUAAACUCUCCAUCGUACUGUAGUGUCUCUUUGGGCGAUCUCACUACCAUCAUCCCGUACAGUCCAGCCGAUCUCUGCAUCCCAUAGUGUCCGUGGUAGAAAUGUGUUCCUGCCUGCACCAUUACAAAACGUUAUCGAUAUCUCUUUUUGUAAAAGUUAUUUAAGAGAAAUAAAUGUCUUUUGUUUACCUUAUCAACUGUGAAUUUAUAAGUGAAAGUCUCUCCAGGAUUAAUGGGACAUUGCGUCACACCCGCUGCUCCAUCUGACCAUGGAGUGCCAUUCUAUUCCAUAAUCAUAAUUCAUUGUUGUUAUGUCCCUUUUUUGACAAUUUGAUUAUACUAAAAUUUAUGUAUAUAAUAUAACUAAUCUCCAUUCUAGUAUAACUUUUUAUAAAAAUAUAUUCUCUCCCUUCCGUAAUAAUAUAUAACUAGAUUUUCACCCGCACAACCGUGCGGGUAUAUAUUUUCACAUUAAUAUAUAUAUAGAUAUUUGUUUUACAUAAUUAUUAUAUAUUUUUAAUGUUACUCACAUAUUUAAAUGCUUGUAUAAUUAUGCCAAAUAUAAUAAUUUUAUAGUUUUCAUGGUGUAAAUUAAAAUCAUCACAUAUAUAUGUUGCUCAUUAUAUAUUUGUCCUAUUGAAUUUGCAUUUGAAUACUAAACUAAAUUUUUUAAUGCAUGAAACAACAUAUAUGAAAACAAUUUUGUAUUUAAUUUAUUAUAAUGCAUGAUCCGUAAUUCAAAUCGCUAGAUUUUUUUAGUAAUUUUUUAAUGUUUAUUAAUUCUAUAUAAUAAAUUACUGUAUAUUAAAAAGUUUAAGAUAAGUUAAAAUUUUAUACAUGUAUUAUAUAUUUUACUAAUAUUAACCCGUUCUACCAACAUAUUAUAUUUUUAGCAUAAAUAUUUUAUAUUUAUGAAAAUAAAAUAUGUUAACUUAUCAAUUUAAAAUAAUUUUAUCAUAUUUUGUUUAAUAUAACAUUUUUAUUUUAAAAUGAUAGAUAUUAUUAUAAAAUUGAUAAAAUAGGAUAUAAUUUUAUUCUUUUAGUAACAUUUCAUUACUAAUUACAAAAUUAGUUGAAAAUAUUUAUAUUCAAUUUAUUAAAAUUAAGAUCUUAUUAUAAUUUAUUUUAAGAGAUUUGUUAGCAUUUUAAAUUUUUUUAAAGAAAAUUAAAAGAUAUAAAAGAUAUUAUGAUUAAAGUAGUUAAAAAUAUUAUAUAUAUUAGCAUUAGUGAUAUACAUUUAAUAUAAAAUUUAAAUGACGGUCCAAAUAAAAAUAUCAGUCAUCAAAAAAUCAUGAUUUUUAUUUUAUUAGAAAACAAAUUUGAAAAAAUUAAAAUAUAAAUAAAUAUUUAUUUCUAACAAAAUCUUUAAAAAUUAUUCGUAAAUGUAUUUUUGAAAUUAAUUAAUUUCAUUUUAUUUAAAUUUUCGUUUAUAAACCAAAACUAUAUUUAAUUUUAAUUUCUAAUUAUACUUUAUGAUAAUUUAAAUUAAAACUAACUAAUUUUUGAAAGUAAAUUUAAAAAGAUUCUAAGAAGAUUUUAAAAAGAUUUUGUUAGAACAUUUUAAAUAUAUUCAUUUGUAUUUCAAAUAAAAAGAUAAGAUAUUAAAAGAUAUAAUAAUGAACUUAUGUAAAAUAUGAUAUUUUCUAGGAAUGAUCCAAACUAAAAAAAUCACACAUGAAAAGAAGUCAUGACUUCUGUUUUAAUAUAUUAGAUAUAUUAAUGUAUAAUAACAUUAAUUUUAUUACUAAUUACAAAAUUAGAGAAAAUAUUUAUAUACAAUUUUUGAUAAUUAAGAUAUUGUUAUAACGUUUUUCAACACAUUUGUUAAGAAAAUUAAAUAUUUAUAUUUAUAUUUUAAAUUAAAAGAUAUCAAAUUAUAUUAUGAUUUCAGUAGUUAAAAGAUUAUAUAUUAGCAUUAAGGAAAUACAUUUACUACAAAUUUUAAAUGAUGAUUCAAAUAAAAAUAUCACAUGAAUCAAGGUGAGUUUGUUAACCAAUCCGGGUUUUUAGGAGUCGAUGUUAUAUUAGGAAUGAUAUUAUUAAUCCAUAUUAUUAGUAAUAAAUGAAUGAUAACUGAUUUUUAGGGAGGGUCAAUUUUUUUAAAAAUCAUACAUGAAUCAAAGUUGUGACUUAUGUUUUAAUAUAUAAGAUUAGUAUAUAUUAUAAUAUAUAUGUGUUUAUCAAUUUUUAAAACAUAAUAAGCUUACUGUAUAUUUUUUUUCAUUGAAUAGAUUGUUUCAUACUUUCACAUGUAUUUGUAUCUUCUUCUAUAUAUAUAUAUUUUCGGAUUAUUAUUUCAUUAUUAAAAUCAUAACUAUAUAUAUAAAGAUUAGUAAAAUAUUGUUUUAUUGUUAUAUUCAAAGAUAUUGUAAUAUUUCACAAAUUUAGAAAGUUUUUAAGAAAUUAAAAUUUUCGUUUCAAAGAUUUAUAUUAUCGAGUAAAUAAUUAAACAUUUAUUUUUUUGUUUAGUUUUUAAAAUAAACUAUAUAGUUUAAAAUUUGUUUUUAUUGGUUUAAUAUAUUAAAGAUUAAUCAUUGUUAGAUAAUAUGAUUUUUGUUAUUUAACAAAAAAAUCUUUAUAAUUUUAAAAGUUAACUUCAAAAAAUAUUUAAAUAUUCAGCAUAUAGAGGUAUAUAUUACAACAUUAAAUUAUAUUUAUUUUAUUUAUACUAUAUAUAAAUCCAAUGGAUCAUCUAUUGUUUAAAUUUAAUUAUUGAUAGCCCAAUAAAAAUUUCUUGUAGACCCAAAAUUUAAAUGAUAGAAUUAGAUAUUAAAUGUAACAUAACUUUCUAGGAAUAGGUCCAUUAAGUCCAUUUUUUUAAAAAUCACACAUGAAUCAAGGUUGUGACUUCUCUUUUAAUAUAUAAGAUGUUUUAGAAAAAUAUUGGUGUUUCAAAAGUACACAUAUGUUUUGACAUUUAUAUAUUAACUUUAGAUUUAUUGAGUUUUUUAACCAAAUAUAUUUGUAUCGUUAUUUAAUACGAAUAGUUCAAUAAUUUUUAAUUUAUAUUAUAUCUAUAUUUUUUUUAAAUUAUUACUUUUUGUGAUUUUAGACAACAUAUCUUAUAUUAUAUGACACAUGGAAUAUUAAUUAUAUAGGCAACCUGACGUAUGCCGUGCCAAUGGAUGACAACAUUUUCGGUGGAGAGUUUAUUUUUGACGUGAAUGAUGACUGUGUCUCCGGCGUUAGCAUAAAUCGUUGGCCCUGGAAACGCACCGUUGAUGGCAAUAACGACGCCUUCUGUACAAUCCGGAGACCGGAAUUGAUUCUCGACCUCCCAGUACGAUUCUACAACUCCGGCGGAUCCGGCAGAGGCCGAGUGAGCCGCCACCAUAACCGCCGUUACUAGCCACCACACAAUUACCGACAUUGAAAUUAGAAACAAUUACACUCAAAGACAGUUUUAAGUUUUUUAUCACACUAUUAGACAGUUCUUACUACUAGAGCAGUUUUUUCUAACCAAACCUAAUUUAUAUCUAUACACUAACUAAAAGUCCUAACUAAAUAUUAUUAUUUUAUUUUAUUAGCCAAAAGAAAACUAUUAGGAAACUAUGGUCACAAUCACUUUUUUAUCUCUCUCUCUCUCUCAUAGUUUUAUUCUUGUUUUCUUUUGUCGUGAACCAUUUGGUUUUAAUUUCCACUAAAGAAAUGCAAAGUGCUAUUUCAAAGAUAGAUCUGGAGAUUUUCACUCACUUUUAGUUUCUGGUGCUAACCGUUCUGAAUCUACCGUCGAAGCUCUGUCGCCAUCUUCUUCAUCAUCUUCACCUCUGCAUCUCUUCCGCUUCAAUCAAGCUCUUCUAUAAAUAUCAGCCAUCGUCUAAACUAUCAUAGGAGAGAGAAAGCUUAAGCAACAAUGGUAAAUCCCUUAAAAAAACAAUGGUAAAUCUCUCUGGCGUGAAGUGAUUGUGUCACGAUCUCGAACGCGAGUAACCUUAAGCACAGUAGCUUCUUUGCCUGAGCCGCUACACUCGUCUGUCGAGCUCCAAUCACAGAGAGAAAGCUCAAGCAACAAUGGUCAAAUCUCACAUAUUUGCACAUUUAGUCCUUGGGUAUUUAGGUUUAAUUUGAUUUUGUCCCAAACUCUUUGAUUUCAAAUAUAUCCUAUCUAAUUGACCCCUAUACUUCAAAAUAUGCAUUCUAGCCCCUAUUUUGAUGGAGAACUUUGGGUUUUUCAUUUCUAGUCCCUCAUAUUUUGCAUCCUUUCAUUUUUGACCCCAAAAUUUCCAAAUUUACAUUUUUAAUCCUCUAAUGAACAAACAAAUGAUAUAUACACACCUAUAUUAAACCUAAAAUUAUCUAAAUAGACUCCAAAAAUAUACUCACUAAAAUCAUCAGGUAUCAUAACUUGUGAAAUGUAUAAAUGAGUUUGUGUACUUGUGUUUUUUUUUGUGAUACAUAUGUACACGUGCACAAUAUAAUAUAUGUGUACACAUGAACUUCCAAAUUUUAAUUUUCAUGUGAUAUGCAUACUGAACAUACAAAUUCAACAGAUGCAUCCAAUAAUGAACUAAAACAAAUUACUCAAAUAAUUUUUCUAGCAACUAUACUAAAAAAUAUUUGAAUUACCAAAUAUCAUAAAUUGAGCAAUGUACAAAAUGUACCAGUGUACAUGUGAUUUUUCAUAAAACUUUGUACAUGGGGACAGUGAAAUAUAUGUGUACACGUGACAAUAUUUGACUUGGCUUAUACUCUAUAUAUUCUUUAACCAAAACCUAGAAAGAGAAAAAAAUUCUAUAAGUCAAAGAAUAGAAACACAAUCUUUGAUGGAAAAAUUACUUUUUAAAAAGAAAAUAUAAUUUUUAGAUUUUUCUUGUUCUAUAAAGAUAAAAUUUCUAAAUAUUCAUGGAAUUCUUAAUAUGGAUGAAUAUUCUAGAAAAUUCUUCGUUCAGGAACAAAUAUAGCAUUUUUUAGUUUUGCUUAAGAUAAUUUUUUUUACACACAAAUUUUGAUUUUAAUGGUUAAGAUGCAAAAUUAGAUUUAUGGUUUUGGCCAAAAAUACAAUAUAUGGUUUUACAAGUUUAUUUUUACAGUGUGUACAUGUGAAUUAUUGCACAAGUUGAAUUGUGUACAUAUGAAUUGAAGUACACGUGGAUAGUAAAUUUGGUGUACAUAUCUAUAUACAAACACCAUUACAAUAAUGUACACAAAAAUAAUUCAUACUUCAAUAAUGUACAUAUGAAUUGAAGUAACGUGGAUAGUAAAUUUUGUGUACAAAGUGUUGUGUACAUAUAUCUACAUACAAACAUCAUUACAAUAAUGUACACAAAAAUGAUUCAUACUUCAAUAAUGUACAUUUGAAUUGAAGUACACGUAGAUAGCAAAUUUUGUGUACAUAGUAUUGUAUACAUAUAUCUACAUACAAACAUCAUUACAAUAAUGUACGCAAAAAUAAUUCAUACUUCAAUAAUGUACAUAUGAAUUGAAGUACACGUGAUAGUAAAUUUUGUGUACAUAGUGUCGUGUACAUAUGUCUACAUACUUUAAGGGCGAAACGAGUAAAAAACAAAAACUUAACAAUUGUUGCUCUCUAGUUUUCACUCUGCUACGAGAUAAAAAUGAACACUAGAAAUUUGGAAAUAAAAUUAAAAGUCGUUUGGCAACUUCGAAAGUCUAAAAAAUAAAGAUUAAAACACGAAGGACCAAACAUGAAAAUAUCAGAAUCUUGGCCAUUGUUGCUCUCGAGCUCAAACUCUACGACGGAGAGGAUGAGCCACAAGGACUCCAGACGGAAAUUAAGGUGGAUCUAGGGGCUGUAGCGUUUUGCGGUGAUUCUUCGACGAUGAAUGAGGCAAGAGUGAUGCGUAAGUGAUUUGCCGUUACGGUAGGAGCUAGCCGUUAAGGUAGAGCUGAGCAUGGUGGAGUGAUGCGGAGGCGAUGCUUCAACGACGAGUCGGCGGUGAGCAGCAAGUUACAUACCAAACAACACGUUGAGGGGUUAGAAUUCACAAUUUAAAAGUCUGGAUCGCAACUAGAAUUAUGUGGCCACAAAAAAAAAGUAAGGACUUGAAAAUACCAAAGAAAAAGAAAUUAUGAGGCACGUGGUCUUUUGCUCAGAUAAUUAUCUAAUUCAAUUUACUUUCUGCCUCGGGUCCACCACACAAUCCUUUUAAAACAAAAUUCAAAAUCCAACCACACAUAAAUAUCUGUAACCGAAAAAGAAGCGCUUAGUUAAGUUUUUUAAGGGCAAGUUAAGUCUUUUACACCAAAAACUACCUCAGUAUAACAAAGUGACUUAUCUUGUAAUAAAAAGACAGAAACUGCCUCUGGAUGUAAAUCACUCUUGAAAUUAUUAUUAUUUGGUUAUGUAAGCUGGAUAUAUUGUGUGGGUUAUAUUAAAUAGACUGUCUUGCUUUUUAUGACAUCUUUCGUAGUUGUAGUAUAUAUAGAAAGGGAAUGGCUGCUUUUAAUUUCUUGUUUUUAAAAAAAAGUUAACCGAAAAAUCCAAAUAAUUUUCUAUAUUUAUUUUGUCUUUUUCCUUUGUGUUUUAAAGGGCAAUCUUUUUCUUGUGUGGCUGUUUCUGACUGAGUUUGAAAAUUUUGACAUAUUAACAAAUGAAAAAGAAAGACGACAAGAUCAAUGUGACCAUAUUAGUAAUUUUAGCAGUUUGGUAUUGGAAGACUAUGCAAUUGGUUACAACUUAUAUCAUUUUGACAUUGUUUCCUUGGAAGAAACGUGUAGUCAAACAAUCAAGGUCUAAAGGAUUUAUAACUAUUCAGAAAAAUAAUUAUUCACGUAUAAAUACUGGCACACAUUUAUGCAACUAAAGAUUUUCAGCAUGAAGUAAUGAAUACCGCCAUCAAUGAAUUUCAUAGAGCAGUUUAAGAUGAUGCAGUUAGACGUAAAUCAUCAUAAAGUAGAUAUAAUUAUUAGUUAUAAUAUCGUUUAUGUAAUGUUUUUUAUGAUUUUUAAUAACAUACGUACACAUGUACAUUAGAUAUGUAAAAUAUAUUAAUAAAUAUAAUAAAUCAUAUGAUGAAGAGAGAAAGAAAGAGAUUUUUUAUACUUUCAAGUUGAUGGCCAGAGGCUGGUAUAGCUCUUGUUUGAUUCGUUUUGUUUUGUUUUUUUCUUUGAUUUGCUUUACUUCCCGUCACUUGGUUUGUUUGAUUGCCAAUUUAUUUUAAAUAUUGCAAAGUUAUUUAUUGUUGUUUUAUAUGUUUCUUCUAAUGGAUUUGGUAAGAAAAAAAAAUAUUCGGUUCAAUUGAACCGUUUAGAAAAGGUAAUUGACAAAUCUACUCUAAUGGUGGUGACAGGUCUUACCAGCUUCAAUCGUUGAUGGUUCUUUAUUUGAUGGUGAUGGAGUUCUUGCUACAAACUAUGGUUAUUUCGAAAAGACAUUAACAUGAAAUUUUAUGGAACAGUAAUCUCUUUAACUUUGUUAUUAUCACGGACGAACACACAUACGGAGAGGGUGUGGCACGUGCCACAUAUUGAUAUAAAACCAGUAAGCUAAUGCUUACUGAGAUGAAGUUGUUUAGCUCAUUCGGCUAAAACGUGCCCUUGUGCUCCACCCUAAUCACGUUCGAGCCCACUAUAAUUUUUUUUUGAUGAAAUGUGAAAUCUAUUAAUCAUCACUAAAAAAAUAGGCAUUUACAUAAAGAAUAGAGAAACUAAUCUGUGCAUGAACCGAGUGUGGAAAUAAAAAACAUCAUGUUGAAACCUCAAACCAUCUUUGCAUUAGUCAUGCAAACUUAUGAUCGGCCUUGUAAUGGAGAGAUGUAGUACACAAUUGUUUUUUUGUUUUCUUUUGUCUACUAUCAUUUUCUUCCAAAAUAUAUAAUUUAUUUUGUUCAAACAUAAAUAUAUAAUAAACAAAAUUACAUGAAUUUUUCUCUAACAAUUAGUUUCAUUAAGUUUUUUUUUUAAAUUUACGAAGAUAUCAUUUAGGAAGAAUAAAGUGUGAUUCUGAUUGUAUUUAGCAGAUAAACAACCUCAUCAAGAAACACAAACAUCUCAUUCAAAUCAAACACAUAUUACAAAGAUUUUUUUUCAAUCUUAUGAAUCGGUCUCUUCCCGACUGAUUUCUUUGUUAAAUAAAUUCCAUCGAUUAACACGAAACCAGUGCCGGCACAGGGAAGAAGCGAAUGAAGCAUGUGCUCCGGCCAUUAAAAGUUUAUAGAUGAUUUCGGCCAAUUUUUGUAACGCAAGUUGCACUUAGUCCAACGGUAAUGAGCAAACUUUCUUAUCAUAAGAGGUCAUGAGUCGAUGUCCAUGUUGGACAUUUUCUAUUUUCAUAUAUAGUGGCCCAAAAAUUUUUUUGUGCAACCGGCACAACAAAACUCUGGACCGCUACUGCUCGAAACAAAAAUAAUAAUAAGUUUUAUCAUGAAAAAAAAUAUUUUUAAUUUCUUUUUGUCAUCAAAAAAAAAUAUUAACACAUGUGAAAUGCAUUCAUACAUCCAUAAGCCGACAAGAAACACAUUCUUUCCAGAGCAAGAAGCCGGCAAAGAUCAAAAUCAUUCCAGAGCCAUGAUAUAUAACUAAACUAAAGUUAAGACAGAAGGAUGAAAAGGAAUGCUAAAACAUAAGCUCACAGCCGAGACAUAAGAUAUAAAGUGGCCCUAUGAUUGCAUCGAGAGAAUAGAGCACUCCGAUCUCUAAAACAAGGAUAGAAUCAUGACGAAGAGCCUUCAAAGAACAUUGUAGAGGUCCUGAAAGAGACUUCUAUCCAAAGAGCCAAAACACAAAGGUGUCGGAUUCUCAAAGUUCAUGCAGCUAAAAGCUGGUACACUUACAUCAGUCCAACCAUAUCAUAGCACAAGAAAGCUCAAAUAGAUCUUCAACAGAGACUGGAUGAAAACCUGAUAACACCAAUACAUCAACCACUCCACGGAACCUUAAACCCAAGAAAAGCCUACGAUAUUCCUAAAAAUCAUCCAGAUACCGAAGAUAAUGGAGUGUGACUAGAGGGUAGAGCCAUAAGACCUCUGACACCACACUUGAAAGGCUGUCUGGCCAAACCCGAAUAAAUAAAGACCCCACAUCUGAACCGGCUAAGUACUUCUACCGCAAACCAGAAACCAGAUAAGAUCUGACACCAGCAGCCACCAAAGCAUAUGAUCCACAUAAGUACCAAAGCUAGCACACUGAAGCAACUCAAUAGAGCAUUAAACCGUAUAGAGACCCAUCAAUCAAACACGUCAAACACAGUUUGCAGUUACUAGCAAUACCAACACAAAGCACCACCAUCUUGACUAACACAUACCAAAGCAAGGGAAGGCUUUAACACAAACCUAGCUGAAACGAAAGCCUGAAGCUGAAGAGCAUAGUAGACACAAACAAUUUGCAACCGUAGAGCUUCUCCACCACCAGAACUUCAACUAGCCGUCACCUCAAAACCCAAAACUAGGACCGGUCAUACGAGCUAUUGAACCACCAAAACUAGAAUUGGAUCCACUUCUGAGCAUCCAUCGUUGUACACUGCCACAACCGAGUAACAAUCUAAUAGACGCGAGCGGCUUCAGAAUACUCAGGAAACAAACCAGUCGAGAUAUGGCUAAAACCUAACACACUCUCAUGAACCAGCUAGAGUGUAAAAGCCCCUCAUCCCAUGGAAACUUAAAAAAAAAAUCACACAGCACAAGCUACAGAGAAUCAAAAAGAGAAAGGCCGGGGUGGCACUUACAGAGGCGCCACUCUAAAAGGCGAUGAAGAAGGCGAGGGAAAAAUUGGUGUUUGUUGUUUAACAUUUUUAGUUUUGAGCUAACAAAUAACAACAAAGCAAGGUAAAAAAACUAAAAGCACAAACAAAUAAUAACCACUAAUACUAGUAAGUACAGUAAUAGGAAAACACCGGUUGUUGUUCAAAAAAAAAAAAGAAAAAAAAAAGGAAAACACGGGUUAUAGCUCCGGUUCUCAAUGGCGUCCCCGGUUCAUGAGAAAUUCUCUGGUUAAACCACAACCGAGCACCUCAUUCGGUAUAUUCAUCUUAGCGAUCUGGUCUACUCCCUCGGCAAAAACCACACCCAUGCCCAUAUGCAAAUGCGGUUCAAUGUGACAAUGAAAAAACCAAACCCCAGGAUUGUCCGUUACAAAUCUCAACGCCGUCCAUCCGUACGGAUACAACGCCACCGUAUUCCUUAACGGCGCGUUGGUCAGAUUAUACCUCUUGUCGUCGACUCCUGGCUGAAACUUCCCUUCGCCGUACCCCAAAACCCAAAAAUCAUGACCGUGGAGAUGCCACGGAUGUAUCUCGCUGCCUCUACCGUUCAAAACGUUCGAGUUCUGGAGAAUCACGUCGACGACGCGGCCGAGCUGGAAGUUAUAGAUUCCGCUACCUUUCGUCGUGUUUGGAUUCACCGGAGGUUUGGUUAUGUCGUAGUCCUCCACGAUCUUCUUCCCCGGAGGUUUUUGGUAGUUCAAAGUCUUGAGCCCGUAUCUGAUCGUUCCGAUGUACGGCGUCGCCGGAACUGAUAACGAGACGUUGUUGAUCGCCCAUUUUGUGUACUUAUCCAUGAGGUUCUGUGUGUUGAGGAGGAAGAGCUGUUCGUCUGACUUCUCCGGCGGCGGCGGGUAUCCUUUCGCGGCGAAGAUUUUCUUCGAGAAGGUUUUGCUCCGGUCGUAGUCGUCCCACCUGGGAGUCACCGGGGGAGGAUAAGGUAGGUGUUCGUAUUCGGGAGCGUCGGCGUAGUGUAGCAGGGUGAGGGCUUGUGUAGUGUUGGGUUUACGGCCACGAACGCCGACGGAGAUCCAGUAUUUUCUGGAAGGGGUUGGAUUGUGGGUUCGGAGGAGAACGGAAUAGGUCUCGCCGGAGUAGAUGUCAAUGUCGUUGACGGUGAACGGAGCGAUGUAGUUGCCGUCGGCUUCAACGACUUCUAGGUUGUGUCCCUGCACAUGUGCACAAUCAGCCUCACAACUAUGAAUAAAUAACGUAUUCAAGUACAAAAGUAAAUUUUGCAAAAAUAUAUUGAACUUAAACUUCUCA